GGCCGGACUGGGCAGCGUGGUCCGGCAGGCGGCCGCUCGCGCCGACCGGGAGGAUCCGGCGGAGAUCCGGGCCGAGACGUUCGGCCUGUACCUCGGCCA
This 99-nucleotide transfer RNA is filed under the name Streptomyces vinaceus. RNAcentral describes it as "tRNA-Ala". Lineage: Bacteria; Bacillati; Actinomycetota; Actinomycetes; Kitasatosporales; Streptomycetaceae. The record is from RNAcentral.